This 402-nucleotide ribosomal RNA is filed under the name bacterium. RNAcentral's name for it is "partial 16S ribosomal RNA". It matches the Rfam family "Bacterial small subunit ribosomal RNA", at positions 355 to 776 of the family's 1533-position model. The record is from RNAcentral.
UGGGGAAUUUUGCACAAUGGGGGAAACCCUGAUGCAGCGACGCCGCGUGAUUUAGAAGGCCUUCGGGUUGUAAAAAUCUUUUCUAUGGGAAGAAAAUGACAGUACCAUAGGAAUAAGGACCGGCUAAUUACGUGCCAGCAGCCGCGGUAAUACGUAAGGUCCGAGCGUUGUCCGGAAUCAUUGGGCGUAAAGGGUACGUAGGCGGGUAAGCAAGUUAGAAGUGAAAUCCUAUAGCUCAACUAUAGUAAGCUUUUAAAACUGCUCAUCUUGAGGUAUGGAAGGGAAAGUGGAAUUCCUAGUGUAGCGGUGAAAUGCGCAGAUAUUAGGAGGGAUAACGGGGGCGAAGGCGACUUUCUGGCCAUAACCUGACGCUGAGGUACGAAAGCGUGGGUAGCAAACAGG